This is a non-coding RNA of Prunus avium (sweet cherry), 1329 nucleotides long. NCBI's taxonomy places the organism in Eukaryota, Viridiplantae, Streptophyta, Magnoliopsida, Rosales, Rosaceae. The record is from RefSeq and is a predicted model, not a curated record.
UUUAUUGGUCUCCCUUUUUGAUCAGAUUAGAUCUCUCUCUCUCUCUCUCUCUCUCUCUCUCUCUCUAUCCCCGCAGCAACGACGACCACAGCCUUCACCUGCGAUGGAAUUCUCAAGCUGCUCAUCCCUUCGGCCUUCAUGGGUAACUCCAAGGUCUUCUAGCUCAAGAUGAAGAGAGAUUACGAUCGCUAUCUUGCUGAGUUCAAGUUCGGAGUGUUUCUAUGAGUUACUUGAGGAGGAGAUCCAUCAAGUAAUUGUCGAAAACCAGUUAUUUAAGCCUGGUGAGAGCAUUGCCCUUGGCGCCACUGGUGGGAAAGAUUCCACUGUCCUUGCUUAUGUGUUAUCGGAAUUGAAUAGUCUCGUACAAGGAUUUGUAUGGGUGGACCAUGGAUGAAAUAGUUAAGAUGAUUGGUCUCAAGAAUAAUAGCAUCUUCUGUGGUGUUUUUCGUCAUCAGGUAUUUGCUUUUAUUGGAAAUUGACUGCUUGUGUACUUUUUAGAAGUCUUGUAUGCAUGUAUUUAGACAUGACUUAGCAUUCAUAUGUUUUGACAACAUCAAAGCUGUGUGGUUACUCCACAGAAAUUAUGCACACAACCUUGUUUUCCAUAAAGGAAGAGCCGGAGGCUUUAUAGCUGACUCUUUGCAGCAAAUUUGUCAUCACCAGACCCGGAGGGUCAAAGUUUAUUUACAAAGCAUGCAAGUGGUCGAAGUUGAUAGUACUUAUACACACAUUAUUUUGGUUGUUUGACAGGAUGUAAUUAUACAGAAAAUAGCUUUUAUCUUCGUUGAAAUUAUUAGAAUUUACUGGAAAAUUUUGAGAUUCUCAACUCUUGGUUUCGUUCUUGGACAGAAUUUACCAAUUUGUAAGAUGAAUAACCCAUUUCUUUGUUUCUCAUCUUGUCUUCAUCAAUCUUCACUAUCAUAAUCCAAUAUUUUGAAAUUUGUCAUUAUUUGUCAAUUUGCAUAUUGAGAAAGACAGGUCCAUCAAGUAUGCAUUGAUAUUGAUUAAGAGAACGAUGCUUGACAAUAAGAAAAAAAAAAAAUUGGUGGAAGAUGUUCCUACAUGAUUUUUGUACAUAAUAUUUGGAUUUAUAUUCAAUUUGGGUAUGAUUGAUUGUAUUUGUCCGUAAUAUUUGGUAUGGGGGUAUGAUCUUAUGGUUAAAUUUAUUUAUUUUUCUCCAUGUCUCUGUCUUUUGUUUAUGCUUGCAGCAUUAUAUUUCUUUAUUUUUUAGUAGGUGAAAUUUUAUACAGGUUCUACAUUGCAGUUUUGGAAACUGCAUUGCAGUUUUGGUAAUUACAAUUGGAUUUUUGCUCUUUCCUUGGCCUUCAA